Molecule: ribosomal RNA, 411 nt
Filed under: alpha proteobacterium wo54
Lineage: Bacteria; Pseudomonadati; Pseudomonadota; Alphaproteobacteria
Description: bacterial SSU rRNA
Rfam family: Bacterial small subunit ribosomal RNA
Source: RNAcentral
CCAGCAAUGCCGCGUGAGUGAUGAAGGCCUUAGGGUUGUAAAGCUCUUUUACCAGGGAUGAUAAUGACAGUACCUGGAGAAUAAGCUCCGGCUAACUCCGUGCCAGCAGCCGCGGUAAUACGGAGGGAGCUAGCGUUGUUCGGAAUUACUGGGCGUAAAGAGUACGUAGGCGGUGAUUCAAGUCAGAGGUGAAAGCCUGGAGCUCAACUCCAGAACUGCCUUUGAAACUAGAUCGCUAGAAUUGUGGAGAGGUUAGUGGAAUUCCGAGUGUAGAGGUGAAAUUCGUAGAUAUUCGGAAGAACACCAGUGGCGAAGGCGACUAACUGGACACAUAUUGACGCUGAGGUACGAAAGCGUGGGGAGCAAACAGGAUUAGAUACCCUGGUAGUCCACGCCGUAAACGAUGAUAAC